This 467-nucleotide ribosomal RNA is filed under the name uncultured bacterium. Its description in RNAcentral is "partial 16S ribosomal RNA". It matches the Rfam family "Bacterial small subunit ribosomal RNA", at positions 28 to 507 of the family's 1533-position model. The record is from RNAcentral.
GAUGAACGCUGGCGGCGUGCUUAACACAUGCCAGUCGAACGGAAAGGCCCAAGCUUGCUUGGGUACUCGAGUGGCGAACGGGUGAGUAACACGUGGGUGAUCUGCCCUGCACUUCGGGAUAAGCCUGGGAAACUGGGUCUAAUACCGGAUAGGACGAUGGUUUGGAUGCCAUUGUGGAAAGUUUUUUCGGUGUGGGAUGAGUUCGCGGCCUAUCAGCUUGUUGGUGGGGUAAUGGCCUACCAAGGCGUCGCCGGGUAGCCGGCCUGAGAGGGUGUACGGCCACAUUGAGACUGAGAUGCGGCCCAGACUCCUACGGGAGGGAGAAGUGGGGAAUAUUGCACAAUGGGCGCAAGCCUGAUGCAGCGACGCCGCGUGGGGGAUGACGGCCUUCGGGUUGAAAACUCCUUUCGCUAGGGACGAAGCGUUUUGUGACGGUACCUGGAGAAGAAGCACCGGCUAACUACGUG